This 295-nucleotide unclassified non-coding RNA is filed under the name Hevea brasiliensis (rubber tree). Lineage: Eukaryota; Viridiplantae; Streptophyta; Magnoliopsida; Malpighiales; Euphorbiaceae. The record is from RNAcentral.
GUCGAAGUUUAGAAGGUCUAUAUAUACUGGCAGCAGCACAAUAAAUCAUUAAUUUCAUUUCACUUUUUAUGUAGUCUCCUUUCAAUAUGGAAUCAACAAGACAAUUGUAAUCGAUUUCAACUGAAUCUCCUUUGAUCAUCAAAGGCUUUGCCUGAAUAAUACAAGUAUGUAUUAUACAACUUUCAUAUGAUUGAUUUGGUUUUUUAAUUUUUUAAAAAGCCAAUACUAGAAUAUAUUUGGUCAACUAAAAUAUUAUAUAUCUUUACACCAUUAUAGAGAAGUAUCUUACCCAAUU